This 139-nucleotide small nuclear RNA is filed under the name Cebus imitator (Panamanian white-faced capuchin). Its description in RNAcentral is "U4 spliceosomal RNA (ENSCCAG00000008379.1)". It matches the Rfam family "U4 spliceosomal RNA". Rfam says of the family: U4 small nuclear RNA (U4 snRNA) is a component of the major U2-dependent spliceosome. The structure of U4 snRNA from yeast and human has been reported. U4 snRNA presents a k-turn RNA motif in the 5p-SL related to recognition of Snu13 protein. Lineage: Eukaryota; Metazoa; Chordata; Mammalia; Primates; Cebidae. The record is from Rfam by way of RNAcentral.
AGCUUUGUGCAGUGGCAGUAUUGUAGCCAAUGAGGUUUAUCCGAGGCAUGAUUAUUGCUAAUUGAAAACUUCCCAAUACCACACCAUGACGACUUGAAAUACAGUCAGCAUUGGCAAUUUUUGGCAGUCUCUAUGGGGA